UCACCAAAAAAUGGUACUGAGGUGUUUUUCUCACGAGAAACUUAUGAAAAAUACUCACUGGCUCCAAGCUUCUCUGAGCUAUGGACUUUGUCAAACAGACAGGCAAAGAAAAGCGUAAAGGUGUUGGCAAACACUUCAGAAGACAAGCAGACUUGUAACGUGCAGGCUGCAGAUCCAGUUGAGGUGAAGGCUAAAACUGCAAGUGAUGAUCAACCUUUUCCAGAACCUAGACUCCCCUAUCCGUUUACCUCUUGUCUGAGUGGGAAGGAGCAAAAGACAUAUUUAUAUCUGAUGACUAAAUACUCUAGAAAACCAAACCAUUUCCAAGUUAAUGCAGCAAGUCAAAGAGAGCUAUUCACAUAUAUGCAAAUGAAAGAAUCGGUAAACAAUGAAAUUGCAGAAUUUAUGAAAUUUGCUCAAAAUGCCGCAAAAAGCUGCGCCCAGGACUAUGAUACCCUCUCUGAAGACGCACGACUUUAUACUGAGAAGUUAUUAAGUGCUUGUAUUGGACAUGUACAAAAGUAUCCUGAAUUUUACACGCUGCAGGAAAUCAUAAGUAUCAUGGGAGGAAAAUUUAACACACAGUUGACCUUUAGACUGGAAAAAAAUCUUCUUGUAAUGGGUACAGCAAGACGUGGUGAAACACAGUUCCCUGCUAUGCCUGUUCAGUUACCUGUAGAUUAUAAAACUGUUGCAUCUAUUAUAACUCCGGAAGAAAAGGCUUCUGUUAUGCACAAUGAUAUUAGUUCAGAUUCAAACGCAGAAAAACUUGCUUUGAAAUACUGUCCUCAAGUUGUUUUAAGUAAUCAAUCAUUAUUUGCUUUACUGAAUAAUCACGGACUAAACUACAAGGAACAGUGGGAAAUUCCAGUUUGUAUUAAAAUGAUCCCUGUUGCAGAUAGCAAACCAGCUAAAGUGGUUUAUGUUGACUCACCUCUCCUGAAGAAGGAAAUGACAGUAAGAGAAAGGAACCAAAUCUUCCAUGAAAUUCCAAUGGACUUCCUAGCAACUAAAAAGUCUUAUGUGUCGAUUUCUGAUGUAUUGAUGGACAAACCAGCUGAGGAGAGUAAUUUUCAAUGGGAUAUACCUUCUGACACCUACCAGUGCAGGAAGAUUCCUGUUCCAGAUGACACAGGGAUGGAUUUUGAUGAUGAUGUUACAGAACUAGAAACUUUUGGAGCAGCGGUCAAACUCUCAAAGACCUCUAAAGCAGAAAAUACUUUUCCUAAAGUUGGUAACACUGGUCAAAUUUUGUCACGUGAGCUAAAAACAGACAAAAAAUUAACAUCUGCCAUAAACAAUGGAGGUGAAGAGGGAAGAAACUCUGUUUCUCAGCAAGGAUUUUCAGCCAGCGAAGUGCAGCUUCCAUCAUUUGGCAGUCUGUGCUCCAACCCCGAAGAAAAUUCAUCUCAUAAAAGCUUUCAUUCAGAGGAGGUAGAACUGAACAAAGCGCAGCACGUUGUGACAAAGGAAGUAUCAGACAAUGAAACAAAAUUAAAUACUUUAUCUAACGCUGUUACUUUCAAGAAAGAGUCUGAUGCUGCACAAAAAAAUAAGAGUUGUGCUUCUUUGUGCAGUAGUGACACUGAUGAAGAUCGUUUGGUAAUUGAUACAGAAUGUAAAAGUAUUGAUUAUUGCAAAACAGCUGUACCAAAUACUAUUUCCAGUAGCUCAGCAGAGACUUCCGAAUCACCUUCAUCCAUCCGCGUUGCAUCAGCAAGCGUGACUGAUUCCUCGGAGAGCAUGGAUCAGGGGAAAAAUGCCUCCAGAAAGCCUACAAAAAGAUUGUCCAAAGAAUUUGAUCCUGUUGGACAGAUUCUGAAAAUGCAAACUGAACUUCUCAGGUCACCUUCCCGAAAAGCUCAUGAGCAGCCACUAGUGAGCCUUGAUAGUUCUAACUCUGCACCAACCCACGUGCCUCAGUCUCCAAAAUCAUCGGUCACCUCCAGCACAGAAACUGCGCCAGGCCCUGCCUCAGAUCCCAACAGCUCGUCCAGAAAUACCUGGACGUGGCUUUUCCAGGGCCCUCCAAAGAGAAAGCUGCCAAAUGAACUUGAGAUGCUUGUUGAAGACCCUUCAGAGUAUACAGCACCUCAGGAUGGCAACCUUGUAUAUAAACUAUUCAGUUUGGAUGACCUGUUGUUACUUGUACGUUGCAAUGUGCAAAAAGUAAAGACAAGGCCACGAUCCCAUAAAAAGAAAACAGUCCCAAAGCCUACUCCACUAUUCCUGUUGCCAAAACUAGAAUAUCAAGCCUAUUAUGGUGUCGAAGCUCUUACAGAAAGUGAAGUAUGUCGGUUGUGGACCGAGAGCAUGUUGCAUUCUGAAUGCUCAUUUUAUAUUGGACGUAUUGAUGCUUUUACAUCAAAGCUGAUUAUGCUAGAAAAGAUUUCUCCAGAAAUUUUAAGAGAAAAACUUGGACUAAUUAAGCCUGCAAAUUCAUUAAAUAUACUUCAUCACAUCUUGAAAAAAGUGUCUGCUUUACAGGAGGGCUCUUAUUUAUUGACUCAUGCUGCAGGAGAUUCAUCAGUUGCAAUCUACAAGAGUUCUCUUGACAAGGUGACCAGAGCAUCAUAUAACUUGCAUGAGGCUCACUGUGAUCUGCCUACUGUACCUGCCAGUCUGUCAGUCCCCUGGGUACCGCUAGAUCCCAGCCUCCCUUUACCCUAUCACUUGAGCCAUGGAAGAGUCCCAUGCACCUUUCCACCUGCACCCCAAGAGGCCAUGUGGAAACAGAAGAUGACUGGGGCAAAAGCACACUCGGACACACCCAGCGAGGGAAAGCCAGCAGCUAUGGAAACAAAAGGCAAUCCAGCUCAGCCUGUUAGAAAUGAAGGUGCGGCUGGAAAGAAACCCAAGAACAACUGCAAACAAAGAAUGAAGAUGAAAAAGUGGAAAAUGAAAUAAAAGAAACCUCUGGUGAAGUAGGAAUAGCUAAACCAUGCUGAGGUAUGACGCAAGAAGCUUCCUAAUACAAGAGAGGAAAUUGCUGUUCUCCUUGACUUUGAAGACACCAAAAUGGAUCUUGGGGAUGUUGCCCAAGAGGAGUGAUUUGAAAUAUUAGCACAGGGCCAUGUCGCUUGGUCACUGUUAGUUUUAACAGUAGUAGGGUUUGUGUCUUAGUCUGUUUGUGGAUGCGUUCCAGAUCUGCAUGGAUAUGAAAAGUAAACAGUUUGCUCUUCAUGUGGCAUUAGAAGCAGAAGCAAAACUUGUCCUUUAAGCCUAGCAGCUGGAAGUACAGAGGAACUGGUACCAUGUGACCAAACGUCUACUUCUGUGUUGGCACGUGGGAGUUACCAUCCAACAGCAAGGGACUCAAAUCAACCCAGUGCAGUGAAGUUUAAUAGCAAACGUUGAACCAUUUGAAGAGGUACUUCCUUUGCUGCUUAUUUGCUUUGUCCUGUAUUUUAAAUAGCAGCUUAUCUCCAAAAGAAAACAGAGAUCAGUUCAGACAUGGUCUUUCAGACUAUUUAAUGCUGGUAUCCACUUAAGUUGCCUUUAGUUCUACUAGUGGAAUAAAUUAGAGCAUUUUUUUAAUCUCUCGCCCUAUCUAAGCCUGACCGGAUAUAUAACUUUCUCAAAUAAUUAAAACUUUUGCCUUAUAAUUAACUAUAACUAUGCAUAACUAAGCUCCCUCCUUCUUAAACUAAGUGCAGCCUUUCCUAAAAGGAAGGGCACAGUCCUUACUGAAAGUGCUACCAUUGCUUCGUAUGCCUUCAAAUUUUCUAUGCUAAAAGCAUGUUUUCUCUUUUUUUAGUUGCUGUUAAAGUAUAUUUAGUUUGUUAGCAAGUUUGAAUUCCAUUUCUCUAGGCCAAAAAUAUUAGAUAAAAAUGUUUUCAAAUAUGCAUUGCUAUAUUAUAUAUCCCAGCUUGAAUUUCCUUUUCAAUGUUACAGAACAUGUUUGGGUGGCCAGGUGACAAUCUAGCCAGAGAGCUUUUCAAUUAUACCCUGUCCAGUCUGCAGGUGAAGGAUAGUCAUUGAGGAAAAGCUGAUCACAGCCAUUCUGAGUCUUAUGGGGGUCCUCUGUAGAUAAUCUCAAGGCUGCUCUAACUUGCAACUAAGUCUUCAAGGCAAAAUUGUCCCCAUAAGACUGAAAAGACACCAUUGCCCCAUACCUUGCAGUAUUUUUUUUUUUCCCUUACAAAACUGCAACAAUAAGUUACUGAUUUCUAAGUGGUUUGUAGAAUAAUUUAGUAAUAAAUACUGAACAGUAUUAAUCUUAGCGUAGACUGCAGGGAGUUCAUCAGUAUUGAUACUUAUCUCUUCUGUGGAGUAGUACGCUUACCCAGUGAGCAAAAAGGACACGAAAGCUCCAUUGUUCCUCAAGGCAUCAUGGUCGUUUUGUAUGAAGUGUAACAGUAAAGGUAAUUCAAAGAAAAUUUAACCUUCCUUUUUAUUGUUCAUGAUGAAAAGAUGUCAAUAAAUAUUCAAAGUGUGAUUUUUCUUUUUUUUAAAUCCAAAAUUAGAGGAGGAGAAAAAAGGGGAAAUAAUGUCAUUAAUAAAAGAAAGGUGGGGCUAUUACUCUAGCAGCAUAUUCCCUGAUUCCUUAAACAAAAUGUAGCAGCCGCACCAUUCUGUUUAUUCACAGCAUAUUUUCAGAGGUGCAUGUUCCUUAUUUACGACUGUCCUAAUAGAGUGUGACUGUUUGUUUAAUUUUUCCAUUGGGCAGUAUCCUUGUUCAGAAGAUUCAAAAGGAAAAGUAUAUUCAUGUUGUUGAGCAAAGCAAUAUAAUCUGAUCAAAUAAGCCAGCUCCCUUCAACUUCAGGGCAUCCACGUCAUAGUUACAUGGAUAUGUUCAAAGCAAGUUUUUCUAAAGGUCUGUGAAUGCAUCUCUGUUUCACUAAAACUUACUCAGAGGUCCUUAUCUAAACAGUUUCCACGUAUGCAUGAGAUUUUCUGUGGUAAAGGGGUAUGAAGGGGUGAGGAUGAUGUUCCAUGCCUGUGCCUCAAAAAUAAGCGUGGACACCAUGAGUGCUUCUCAUUUCUUAGUUGCUACCAAAUGAAUAUAAUUCAUGAAGAAGUAGAGCAAGCUCUAUCACUCUAGAUACUGUCAGUAUUGUUUGCACAAAGAUAACAACUCUAAAAAUCUAAAUAAUUGCGAGUUUUAAUAAAUCUUGACAC
Non-coding RNA from Struthio camelus australis, 5121 nucleotides. The record is from RefSeq and is a predicted model, not a curated record. NCBI's taxonomy places the organism in Eukaryota, Metazoa, Chordata, Aves, Struthioniformes, Struthionidae.